RNAcentral lists this long non-coding RNA (218 nucleotides) under Prunus persica (peach). RNAcentral's name for it is "long non-coding RNA (PPER_LNC007013)". The record is from RNAcentral. Lineage: Eukaryota; Viridiplantae; Streptophyta; Magnoliopsida; Rosales; Rosaceae.
GAGGAGAUAUUUGGUGGGUUUUGAGUGACAUCCAAUCUCUAGAACUAUACAAUGCCCCAACCACUCUAUUUCAGAAAGAACUUCGUACAAACCUGAAUUGUCCAAUUGCAUAGACCAAUCGAUAUCAGAUUGAGUCCAAAACUUGGGGAACAACAUAAUGUCGUGGGAGGAGUCAUUUUGUGAGUUUUGAGUGAAUUCUAAUGGCUAAAACAAUGCAA